AUAUGAAGCACCCUCCCUAAAGGCUCAGGGGCCAUAGUGAAAGAGGACACAUGGGAUUGUAAGAGCCAGAUUAUGGGGGUGGAGGGUAAAGGCUGAAGCAAGUCCAUCUUGGAUGCUAACUCACUAUGUUAGCUUCUGAUUAACCCCAGUUCCAGGAAGGCUGCUGAAAUUUCCAGUUUAUGUGUUGUUCCUUGUGUAAGAGCAUGGACUUACUGCAAAUCCUGCCCUUAGGGCAAAUUCCUACCUAUUCCUGCGGAAGCAUGUGUAUCAUUCCCCUAUGGUUUAUAACCCCUGAGUCUGGGGGUAAUGGCACGGGGACCCACCAGCUUGUCUGCCGCCAUCUGGGGCUGGAGUGCAAUGGCAUGAUCUCAGCUCACUGCAACCUCUGCCUCCCGGGUUCAAGCAAUUCUCCUGUCUCAGCCUCCUGAGUAGCUGGAUUACAGAGUCUUUUCUAAGGCACCAACUACUUCCUUCAAGCAGCAGCCAGAGAUCUUUGCUUAAUGGCUGAGAAACACAGAGGAGAGACCCAGAGAGAAGGAGAAGGCCGCAUGAAGAUGGAGCAGAGACUGGAGUUAUUCAGCCAAGUCAAGGAAUGCCUGGAGCACCAGAAGCCGGAAGAGGCAAGGAAGGAUCCUCCCUUAGAGCAUUUGGAAGAGUGUGGCCCUGCCAACACCUUGACUUCAAACUUCUGGCCUCCAUAACUAUGAAAUAAAUUCUUGUUGUUUUAAGCCACCAAGUUUGUGGUAACUUCUUACAGCAACCCUAGGAAAUUAACACACAGAGUGUCAGUUACCUAAACAUUGUGAGCCUCAGUUACCUUAUCUGAAAAUGGGGCUAAAACUUAGACCUACCUUUUAGGGCUGCUUUAAGGAGUAAUAGAAAUUAUACAUGGGAAUUACAUGGCACCAAGUUGUUCCUUAAUAGAGGGAAACUGUUAUGAUGGCG
This 945-nucleotide long non-coding RNA is filed under the name Homo sapiens (human). Its description in RNAcentral is "HSALNT0292939". Lineage: Eukaryota; Metazoa; Chordata; Mammalia; Primates; Hominidae. The record is from RNAcentral.